CUAGGGCGCGAGCCCGGGC
RNAcentral lists this small nuclear RNA (19 nucleotides) under Arabidopsis thaliana (thale cress). Its description in RNAcentral is "snRNA_00462". Lineage: Eukaryota; Viridiplantae; Streptophyta; Magnoliopsida; Brassicales; Brassicaceae. The record is from RNAcentral.